AACGCGAAGAACCUUACCAAGGUUUGACAUCCUACUAAUCACUUCGAAAGAAGAGAGUGCCUUCGGGCAGGUAGUGACAGGUGCUGCAUGGCCGUCGUCAGCUCGUGUCGUGAGAUGUUUGGUUAAGUCCAUCAACGAGCGCAACCCUUGUGAGUAGUUGAAUUUUUCUACUCAGACUGCCCUGGUAACAGGGAGGAAGGAGGGGAUGAUGUCAGGUCAGUAUUGCCCUUACACCUUGGGCUACAAACACGCUACAAUGGCCAGUACAAAGGGCAGCCAACCCGCGAGGGGGAGCAAAUCCCAUCAAAGCUGGUCUCAGUUCGGAUUGCAGGCUGAAACUCGCCUGCAUGAAGCUGGAAUCGCUAGUAACCGUAGGUCAGCACACUACGGUGAAUACGUUCCCGGGCCUUGUACACACCGCACUACUA
This 428-nucleotide ribosomal RNA is filed under the name uncultured bacterium. Its description in RNAcentral is "bacterial SSU rRNA". It matches the Rfam family "Bacterial small subunit ribosomal RNA", at positions 958 to 1400 of the family's 1533-position model. The record is from RNAcentral.